This 709-nucleotide unclassified non-coding RNA is filed under the name Hevea brasiliensis (rubber tree). The record is from RNAcentral. Lineage: Eukaryota; Viridiplantae; Streptophyta; Magnoliopsida; Malpighiales; Euphorbiaceae.
CUCGAACAUCCUUUUAUAGACCCGUUUUCCUUUUUCUUUUUUUACAGAUUCAAAUCAAAGCCCUAAUUUCAACAAAUCUUCAAUUUCCCCAAAUUCAAUUUCAUAGAUCACAAAUCUGUGAUUUUAUAGCGUUUUCUUCAUCAAAUCCAUAAGCUUACUACUAUCAGUAAUGGGUGAAUUGAAUAUGCAAGAGAUGCCAUUACCUGCUCUGUUCGAGCAAGCUAAAAAAAUCCAUGAUUUGGCUUCGGAAUCGAGCGUUGAUCAAGGAAUAGUGAGGAAAGGUUGUGAGAUUUUGAGAGUGUGUGAAGAAAUGAUUGGGAAAUUAGGGCUGUUUUCGCUUAAUGAGACUAAAGAUGAUAUUAGCACAGCAAAUCUCAAGUAUAUUCUGGUCCCUUAUUAUCUAGCGGAGCUAACAGAAAAAAUUGCAGAAGAUGACAGGAUAGAAGUACUCAAGGCUUCACAAGCUAAGCUAAAGGAGUUCAUUUCAUUUUGUGAGACAAUGGAACUUGUUCCUGAAGACGAGAUAGAGACAUCUACCCAAGGUGGAUCUAGUUCUUCUGUAGAUCGUAGAGCUAAAAAGAUAGCUCGUUUCAAACGUCAAAGAGCUGCUGAGUCAAAACUACUUGAAUUGAAGGAGCGGAGAGAGCGUCGUGGACGAUCGACUAAAGCAGCUGCAUUGUCAAGUCCUGUGGAAACUGGAGAAGAGGAC